Molecule: microRNA precursor, 50 nt
Organism: Saimiri boliviensis boliviensis (Bolivian squirrel monkey)
Lineage: Eukaryota; Metazoa; Chordata; Mammalia; Primates; Cebidae
Source: Ensembl
CUUCUCUUUCCAGUUCUUCCCAGAAUUGGGAAAAGUUGGGUUGAGAGGGU